CUCAUAUCUCAGAAAUGCACAUUUGGUAGAUACAUUGAUAAGCAAACAUAGUAUUAAAAAUCCUGGAAAGUGACACGUCCUCAUUAAAAGAAAUACAAAUUAGUGCUAAUUAUAAUGUCACUUGUUUUAUAAUCAAGAGGAAACAUUGGUUCAAUGAGAAGAAAGAAAAGAAAUAACAUUGCAUCGUUAGUGAUCCUUCCUCCUUUACUCUCGAGGUAUAAAAAUUAUUUCAUGAACGGGGGGUAAAGAUUCAAACCCACAUUCGACUGGGUUAAUAUCCAGAUCCUUGGCAUCCACAGUAGCCUUGAGGGUGAAUUUUUGCAGGAUGGUCACAAAGAAGAUGUAGAUUUCCAUCCGUACCAAGCUUUCCC
This is a non-coding RNA of Pelobates cultripes (western spadefoot toad), 371 nucleotides long. Lineage: Eukaryota; Metazoa; Chordata; Amphibia; Anura; Pelobatidae. The record is from the annotation of a GenBank genome assembly.